GAUGUUAAAAUGGCGAAAUCCAACCAAGCUCGGGUAAACGGCGGGAGUAACUAUGACUCUCUUAAGGUAGCCAAAUGCCUCGUCAUCUUAUGUCAAACUGGGCCCUAGUGCCCAAGCGGUCUAAAGCGGCCCAAGCAGUCUAACCAGUUGAGGCUGGGGUCUAAGGGGUGGGUCUUAGGUCUCCCACCCUGGUGAGCCCAGCCGUGAUGCCUCGGUAGCCAGCGUUGUUCACGUAGCCGCCGAACAGGGGGGGGGGGUAAGGAGGACCUUCGGGACCUCCCCAUCCCCUCCUCUAGUAAGUGACUAAUGGGCCCUUGACUCAGCCCCCCUCACGGGGGGAGGGGGAGGGGGCCUGCACCAAAUUGCAUGGAAGGGACCUGUCUGAACCCCCCCGAGCACCUAGUGCAGACGGGGGGCGAGGGUCCCCGACAAGCAGCCAAGCCGAGGUACGACUCCAGACAAGGGAAGCUCCGAGAGGCAGCCCGGGUCGAGGGGGUGGGUAGUACUGAGGAAGGUUCAGAGACUGAAAGGUGCUCUGGGUUGGGCUUUGGGGGUCUCGAGCCGGUGGACACCAGGGGGUUUACUCCCCUCCCUACCGUCCGUUGGUUCCCCAAGGUCAACAGCCCUAGCUGAUACAGUCCAUCGCCAGAGGGGGAAAAGCUGUAUAAGCGGGUGGCUUGCGCCUCCUUCGGGAGGAAGAGCAUUGGCCAGUGGCUCGGUUGCUUUGUACCCUUCGCCAAAGAUGUUAAUUUGUGACGCGCAUGAAUGGAUUAAUGAGAUUCCCACUGUCCCUACCUACUAUCUAGCGAAACCACAGCCAAGGGAACGGGCUUGGCCCAAUUAGCGGGGAAAGAAGACCCUGUUGAGCUUGACUCUAGGCACAGAAGCGAGGUGAUUCUAAAGGUGUAGCAUAGGUGGGAGGGCCUGGCCCGACCUUGAAAUACCACCACUUUCGACAUCGCUUUGCUAAUGCUGUAACGAAUGGACGGCCCCCCGAUGACUCGGUUGCCUCCGGGCGGCCGACCAACGGGUAAGGCUUCUUUCUGGUGAUUUCCCGGUCUGAUACGGUGGUUUGGCCCCUCUGGGAUAGUACCUCGAGACCAUGAGUUGGGCUUCCGAGCCCGGCGAGUGUUGUUUUGGGGGAACCAGCGACGGUUGAGCUGUCCUCUGUCGGACCUCGUAGGGUACAUAAGCCGUGUAGCAAACCAUCUGUGUUGGGGAGUUUGGCUGGGGCGGAAAACUGCUACACGGCAACGGCAGUCUCCUAAGGUCCACUCAGAGACGACAGAAACGUCUCGUAGAGCAUAAAGGCAAAAGUGGGCUUAACUUACAUUUUCAGUAGUAAUGUGAAGCAAGAAAUUGAGGCUUAACGAUCCUUAGCGUCGGGUGCCAGCCCGCGCUUGAGGUGAGAGAAAAGUUACCACAGGGAUUGAUUUUCAUGUCGGUGGUCCCAGAGACCACCGAGGCCGUCUUGAUCCAGCGUCCACCAAGCCUUUUGCCGAAAGCCUUCCGAGCCAACAGGAGCACCUUCUACGCCCCCCCCCCCCGACUAAGCCGCCAGCCAACUGACCAGCCGCCAACAACCGGACCCCUUGUUAAGUAGUAACCUUCAGCCGCUCUCGAGCCACUGGGAGCAAACAGGUGAACCUCAAGGGGACGUUUGGUGGUUGCUGGGAGGGAGGAUUUUGGGCCCAAUGGGGAGGGGUCAAAAGGUAUACAAGCCUCCCCAGUAGCGAGCGAACCAGGGACCUUCUACGCCCCCCCCCCCCGACUAAGCCACCAGCCACCUGACCAGUAGCCAACGACCAGACCCUCGUGAAGUAGUACCCUUCAGCCCCUCCCGAUUCACUGGGAGCUAACGAAGGCGAACCUCAAGGGGACGGUUGGAGGUUGCUGGGAGGGAGGAUUUUGGGUGCACGGGGGAGGGGUCAAAAGGUAUACACCCCCCAGUAGCGAAGGCACAAGGAGCCUGGGUCUCACGGCCCGGCGUUCUCAAGUCUCGAUGUCUUCAACGGUAGGUAAUUGGCCUGCCGCGGUAGCACUGACAGGCGACAUACCUCGAUGCGAGAAAAACCCAUACCAAAUGGCGGUAGUACCAGGCUCUCCCAGUAACACUGGGAGCCCAUGUCGAUGAACCUCCAACCUUCGAAAGCUUCGUCUUCCAACCUCCGGGCGGGAAUUCAGGGUCAGUAGGGGGCCAGGGGGGGAGACCUUGGUAAUAACCUACCGUCAGGGUUCACUCGCAGGCAACAAGGCUCAUCCAACCCUCACAGGCAACGCCAUUGUAGUACGCGGCCAACAGAGGUGUCUGAUCGGUGGGCUACGUGUCUCAAAGACUGCAAAGGUAUGGGCUAAGCGAUCGCCUAAACGACCCCUCCCCAGGGGCGCGAUGGGCGGGAGUGCAGCUUAAGGUACAGUCUACUCCUGCCCGCAAGGGAUUCCAGCGAGAGGAGGGCCGGGGGAGGACCAACCAACCCCCUCGGACCACCGUGCCUUGCCUCUUAGGAGGCGGGGUCCUGGAGGGGCACAUGUGCCUCGGGUGCAACCAAACUGGAACUGGCUUGUGGCCGCCAAGCGUUCAUAGCGACGUGGCUUUUUGAUCCUUCGAUGUCGGCUCUUCC
RNAcentral lists this ribosomal RNA (2621 nucleotides) under Didymium dubium. RNAcentral describes it as "partial 26S ribosomal RNA". The stretch from base 1 to 1455 matches the Rfam family "Eukaryotic large subunit ribosomal RNA", at positions 2213 to 3401 of the family's 3401-position model. The record is from RNAcentral. Lineage: Eukaryota; Evosea; Eumycetozoa; Physariida; Didymiaceae.